This 261-nucleotide long non-coding RNA is filed under the name Phoenix dactylifera (date palm). RNAcentral's name for it is "long non-coding RNA (PDAC_LNC013957)". Lineage: Eukaryota; Viridiplantae; Streptophyta; Magnoliopsida; Arecales; Arecaceae. The record is from RNAcentral.
GAAUGGGAUGAAUAAUUUAAGUAAAAAGUUUGAUGCUUUCACUGUUUCUACUAGUUCGAGUUCAUACAAAGAGUUAAAUCCCAUCAUGAAAGUGGGACACGAGCCACAGGGCUUAUGUAUCUUGUGUAACAAUCCGGAGCAUCUAGUGGAGUGCUGCCCUAAUCUGCCCACCAUAAAGGCCGAGCAAGCAAAUGCUCUAAAUUCAUAUAGUGCCUUUAAGAAGCCCACUCCCAACUCGUUCAGCCCAGUUUACCACCCUGA